CCGACCGGUGGUGCUGCAGCGCAAAAUUGGCCGUAAAGACUUUAAAACAGGAAUUAAGCAGGUUUCCCAACCACCAUAAAACUCCAAAAGAAGAAGAAGAAGCAGAUUUCAAAAUACAAACCUCUUCAAGAAAAUGGCGCAAGUCGUGGAACUGCAUAAACUCAAGCUGGCAGAGCUGAAGCA
Sinocyclocheilus anshuiensis is the source of this 183-nucleotide long non-coding RNA. RefSeq lists it as uncharacterized. The record is from RefSeq and is a predicted model, not a curated record. NCBI's taxonomy places the organism in Eukaryota, Metazoa, Chordata, Actinopteri, Cypriniformes, Cyprinidae. The transcript is spliced from 3 exons.